Molecule: long non-coding RNA, 1247 nt
Filed under: Mus spicilegus (steppe mouse)
Lineage: Eukaryota; Metazoa; Chordata; Mammalia; Rodentia; Muridae
Description: lncRNA (ENSMSIG00000029852.1)
Source: RNAcentral
AUUCAGUGUUGACAGUUAUCUGCAUGCUCUUUACAGAGCCACUAAAGUGAGCCUGCCACAGGACACACAAGGCCUUUUGUCUGGGGCUCUUGUGUGGAUCUCACACAGAGCAUGAUAUCCAGGGAAGUGUAAGUGUGAUCUGGGUAACAAGGGCAUGACCUGAGGCCGAGGUUUGCUUCUGUUGAGGCACUGAGGUGACAGUGUGUUCUUUUUCUCCCUAGGACUGGCCCCUGGGAUUUGCUGCUCAGGACCCGAGUUCACUGAGACAUCAGGAGCAAGCACUGGAGGCCCGGUGCUGCUGGACCCAGAUGGGAGCCAUGCAGGACUUGACCAUUGCCUGCACACACUUCUUCCCAGGAGAAAGGGAAUGAGCAAGAACUAGAUCCUAAGAGCAGAAGACAAUCAUAUGUCCUGAGAACCCAUUGGAGGUUGAACGCUGCUGGGUGGAUGGAGAAAGGCAGAAAUGCAGAAUUUCGUCAUUGCCUGGAUGCUGACUUUAUCCAAAGAGAAGAUGCAUGAGGAGUGUACAUGCCUCAGAACUGGAUGCUGAGACAUGCCCCCGCGAUCCCAAGACCACCAGGUACCGUGAGCAAUCACUGGAGCUGGAACACUGCUGCCUGAAGAAGAAAAGAAGUGCAGGCUUGUCAUUGUCUAUGCUGUUACUUGUGGUUCCCAGGUCUUCAGAGAGGAUGCACAAAGACGGGAGAACUGGCCCCUGGGAUUUGCUGCUCAGGACCCGAGUUCACUGAGACAUGAGGAGCAAGCACUGGAGACCGGGUGCUGCUGGACCCUGAUGGGAGCCAUGCGGGACUUGACCAUGGCCUGCACACACUUCUUCCCAGGAGAAGGGGAAUGAGGAAGGUGGGGGCCUCAAGGCUUUUUUUCCUCUUCUUUUUGCCUUGCUAAGUUUUUAUAUUCCUCUUUAUCCAUUUGAUUAUUUUGUACAAAAAUCAGGUACAGCCUCCUUACAUAUGGCAUUGAUAUAAAGUGUAAAACAGAAGCUAAAUUCUAGGAGUACAGCUUUCAUGAUUCUGACACAGACUAGGAAGGCUAGAACUGCAUAGUUAGUGGACACUGCCUGUGUAUUGACAUUUUUUUCAGACUGAAGGCCAGGACAGAGAGCUGCAGUCAGUAUACUUUCCCUGCUCUGGGGCAACACUGCCAUCAUGGGAAAAUGUUUCCUGUAGACCAGCACAGGCACAGACCCCUCCUCCAUCCUGCAUCUCCUCAGCCAUUUUGAAGCAGGA